UGCCAGCCGCCGCGGUAAUACGGAGGGUGCGAACGUUAAUCGGAAUUACUGGGCGUAAAGCGCGCGUAGGCGGUUUGUUAAGUGGGAUGUGAAAGCCCCGGGCUCAACCUGGGAAUUGCAUUUCAAACUGGCAGACUAGAGUUUAGUAGAGGGAGGUGGAAUAUCCUGUGUAGCGGUGAAAUGCGUAGAUAUAGGGUGGAACACCAGUGGCGAAGGCGGCCUCCUGGACUAAAACUGACGCUGAGGUGCGAAAGCGUGGGGAGCAAACAGGAUUAGAUA
Molecule: ribosomal RNA, 279 nt
Filed under: uncultured bacterium
Lineage: Bacteria
Description: partial 16S ribosomal RNA
Rfam family: Bacterial small subunit ribosomal RNA
Source: RNAcentral